GGGUUUGACCGGCACUGAUGUGAAGGUGGUUUGGCCUUGAUUGUGCCAUGCCACCUUUACUCCUGAGCCAGGCGUUCCC
This is a microRNA precursor of Bison bison bison, 79 nucleotides long. Lineage: Eukaryota; Metazoa; Chordata; Mammalia; Artiodactyla; Bovidae. The record is from Ensembl.